AUGGAGGAAGCUCCUGUGACCGCUGCCACAGGGGCCUUGGGACCCGUCGUGGUGAAGCUGGGUGCUUUACUGGGCAGCCAGUACAAGCUUUGGCGCCGGACUCGCAAGGACGUCAAGUUGAUCAAAUCCAACCUCAAGUCUGUGCACUCUAUCCUUUGGAUGAUAUGGGGGAAGGAGAUUCUUGAUGUGGAGUCCAAAAACUUGAAGAAUGAAGCGCUGGAUCUCGCCGCUGAUAUGGAGGACGCUGUCGAUGACUUCAUACUCACCAUGGAGCCCAGCCGCAAAAACAAGCACUUGAUGGUGCAGAUCAAGAUCCAAGCAAGCCCCUUCCAAGAUUUCAGGGCAAGAGUAGAUGAGGUGUCGGUCCGGUGCCGCAACAAGUGGAAGAACAAGUCUGCUCAGCCCAUCUCCAGCUUAUUUUCAAGGAAGAAAAACAACAACCCCAGAAUACCGCCUCCUCGAGCUCCAUUUGUUCACAAGGAUGCGGCGGACAUCUUUGGAAUGGACAGAUGGAAGAAUGGCCUCAUCACAUACCUGAUAGGAGAAGGAGGAGGAGAAGACGAAGAAGAAGAAGAGACCACAACGGUGCAGGCGACGCAUCUCAAAAUGGCAUCCAUUGUUGGAACGGCUGGUGUGGGGAAAACAACCCUUGCCAGCCUUGUUUAUGGGGACGAGGAGAUUGGAAAUAAGUUCCAGUCCCGGGCUUUUGUGUACCUAGUAAUAAUUGAUGACAUAUGGCAUCGUGAAGAAUGGGAGAUCAUCAGCAACUCUUUCCCUAAAAAUAAUCUCGGCAGUAGAAUUGUCAUCACAACUCGUAUUGCUUCUGUACCAGGCGAUCAUUUUGGUACUAACAAGCUCUGCAUCAGAAUGAAUCCUAAAUGUUUCCUGCAAAAAAUAAAAAGAAUGAAUCCUAAAUCUGGUCCCCUGUCAAGAUUAAAUCCUGAUUGGAGUAAGCCAAGAUGGCUAUACGGACCUGAUGGGGUGGAUGUAGCCACUAGGAUGAAGCCUGACAUGGUUGGAGAAGGUUUUGACAGUGACCAUCCUAUUGUGCUCAUGUGUGGUGGUGUGCCGUUAGCACUACUCUGCAUGUUUUCAGCAAUGGCAAUGGUCCUCCGAGAGCAACAAGAACAACUAGGGGUACAUGUAAAGGCACGUGAUGUGCAAGAUAUCAUUGAGAAGCAAGUUAAGCAAAGUGGAAUUCAGAACACUCCAAGUGUAUACCCUGAGAAUUACCCUUUUCACAUGAAUGAUUUGGUCAUGCGAUGGGUUGCUGAAGGAUUUACUUAUAAAGAGGAUAUAGCAAAAGGUUAUCUUGAAGAGCUUUGCAACAGAGGGUUGAUGCUGCGUCUAGAGGGUUUAUCGGACAUGCCCUACUACCAAAUGAACCCGAUGAUGCGAAAUUUCCUUAGAUGGAAAUCGCGUGAAGAUAAUUUCAUUACUUGCAGUUCCGACAUCAGAUUGGCAUAUGCAUGUCGAGUCCAUCGGCUAUGCAUCGACGAUUAUCAAGUUGAUGAUGGUGAGGUGCAGGUGGUGGAUACCUUGUUGGAACUGGAUUGGUCCCAGAUUCGAUCACUUGUUGUUUUUGAAGGUGCUGAGAGAUGUGUCCCUUUUGAGAAGUUGGAACGUGUGCGAGUGUUGGAUCUUCAAUAUCAUCAUCAUUAUCUUAAAUUCGUACAGUCUCUUUGGAUAUCUGUUCUGGAUUUCGAGGCCCUUGGAAAUCAGCAUGUGAAGGAUAUAUGUGGACUGCUCCGUGUGAGGCACCUAUUCGGCCUAGAAGGGACAGGAAUCAGUGAGAUACCAACGGAAAUAGCAAGGCUGCAACAUCUGGAGACUUUGCAGGUAAGAUUCACAUGGAUCACAGAGUUACCCUGUGAGAUUGGGGACCUACAACAGUUGAAGACUCUGGUUGUGAGUCGCAAUGAUAAGCUGGCAAAGCUAGCUAGGGAGAUAGGGGGUCUGCAAUAUUUAGAGACUCUGGACCUGAGCUAUAGCAACAGGAUCACGGAGUUACCACAUGAGAUCGGGAACCUCCAGAAUUUGGAGAAUCUGAACCUGCAGUGCACCAAGCUCAAAGAGCUGCCUCUGGAGAUUGGGAAGUUGCAGCAUUUGAAAGCACUGGUGGUGUGUGCAGCAGGCAUCACAAGGCUAGGCAAUGAAAUUGGGGACCUGCAGCCUUUAGAGACCUUGGACCUGAGUUUCAACAGAGGGCUCACACAGCUGCCUCGUGAGAUGUGGAAACUGCAGAAUUUGAAGCGGCUGCUCUUGAGUGAUACAGGGUUGGUGAAGGUACCAAGGGAAAUCGAAGGGCUCAAGAAGCUGGAGAUUUUAAAAUUAGACGAUACCAUCAGUGCACUGCCUUGGGAAGCUAGUCAGCUCUUGAAAUUGGAGGGAGUGCCCGAGUGCGUCCGCCAAGCCUGGAAGAAGAGUGAUCUUGUGUCCGAGUUAGCUGGGGAGAUCCUGUCCAUUCAACUUAUUGAUUGGUUGAAUGAAAGUGGCGGGCUAAUCGUUGGCAGAAAACAUAUGGGAAUUCCAGGGUGGAUCAAGGAUCACUUCAAGGACCUUGGGUCCUUGGACAUCAGGAUGUGCAAACUGGAGGAGCAGGAUCUCAAGAUUCUGCGGGAGAUGCCCAACCUGAAAUUUCUCACGCUAAGGUUGGAAGUUGUCCCGAGAGAUCCCAUAGCCAUCAGCCGUGAAGGGUUCCCAUGCCUGAGGGAACUCGUUGUUGACAGCCGCAUGCCACGGGUUGUCACCUUCCAGGAAGGAGCGAUGCCGGAGCUGCACAAGCUCGUCUUCGAGUUCCAGUUCUACGGUGGGCCACCUGCACCUGCAAAUAAAGACCCUCAGCUGGGUAUCAAGCACCUCCGAGACCUCGGGUGGGUCGAAUUUAGAUGCAGCAAGGAAUGGUAUGGAGGAGCAGCAGAGAGCAGGAGCCCGUGCAUGAUCCUCUUUUUUGACACCGUGAGGAAAGAAGCCCAGGAGCAUCUCAACAAGAUCCUCUUUUUUGUCUCUGGCCGCGAGCCAGGGAUUUUCCCAGCCCAGGAGAGCUUGGCACGGGAGGUUUUCCUGUCCAGCAGCAGCAGUGGGAGUGGCGCUGAGAAUGAGAUGAAGCGUCGUGAGGAGAAGAAGAGCUUGGCACAGGAGGUUUCCCUCUCCAGCAGCAGUGCGGGGACGGGCGCUGAGAUCAAGGAAGAGGAGGAGGAGGAGUAG
Molecule: ribosomal RNA, 3207 nt
Filed under: Triticum aestivum (bread wheat)
Lineage: Eukaryota; Viridiplantae; Streptophyta; Magnoliopsida; Poales; Poaceae
Description: partial small subunit ribosomal RNA
Source: RNAcentral